RNAcentral lists this long non-coding RNA (994 nucleotides) under Malus domestica (apple). Its description in RNAcentral is "long non-coding RNA (MDOM_LNC000150)". Lineage: Eukaryota; Viridiplantae; Streptophyta; Magnoliopsida; Rosales; Rosaceae. The record is from RNAcentral.
UUGCACAACCUCCUUUCUUCCAUCUUCACCCAAAUUCAUGGGUUUUUAAGCCCAAAAUCACCAAGAACAAUGUCGGAGCACCGAAGGUGUUCGGAGUUGAUUUCACCAUUCCAGUGAGUUUCAUUACUCACUACCACCCUCAAUCAAUUCUCCUUGGACCAAGGAACAAGACCCAACCAGUUGUAGGGGUAUAGGAACAUCGAGGAAGGAGAAUCGAAGCUCACCCAUUAUAGGGUUUCAGACGGAUCUAGGGGAAUUUGAGGUGUUUCUCGGCCAAAUUGGCCUUGGCCACAGGUAUGAAAGUCGGGGUGGCCGACCGCCACUUGUGGCGGCGCGUGGGCCGGGGUACCUUUUGACAUUCCUAACUUAAAUUUGAUACUCCAAUUUCAUAUGUAAAGUCCGAUUGAUGAAAUUUCAGUCAUUUGAACCUAGUUCCAUUAAGGCCCACCACUUGAAUAUAAUAGCAACCAACGAUCCGAACAUUGGAUCGUCACCAAACUUUAUUUCAUUAUAGUACAUAAUAUUUGAGAGCAAUAGAAACUUACAGAUAGGGAAUCCGACAUACAGAUUUUCCCAAAUUGGAUUUGUAAGUUUAUAAAAUAAAAUGUUGACCACCAUUUGGUUUUGGCAAUUGGCGGAGAUUUGACCGUUGGAUUGUAAUGAAACCUUAGGACGUUGUUCUAGAAACAUAAUGUGGAUCCCUGGAUGUAAGGGAUCGGAAAUCCGUGAUGUAGAUCUUCUGAAUUGAAUUAUGUAGGGAUGUGUUUUUGUAAAUUAUGUAUUCUAUCGGUAAGAACUCUGAGAUGUGAUUUGAUAAUUGUUCUAGGCGAUGAUGGUUCGUGAUGUGUCGAUAUUCAUGCUAGGGAGUUGUAGCGCUGGCCUAAGGUGAGUGGGUCUUUUCCUUUCUAUCAUAUAUUAUAUAUAUAUAUCAUUGACAAUUCCACAAACGUUUAUAAAUUGAUUAUUGCGUAUAAUUACUGUGAAUACUUUGAAG